Molecule: long non-coding RNA, 619 nt
Filed under: Helianthus annuus (common sunflower)
Lineage: Eukaryota; Viridiplantae; Streptophyta; Magnoliopsida; Asterales; Asteraceae
Description: sRNA HanXRQr2_Chr13g0573881
Source: RNAcentral
UACAAGUGUCAAGUGUCACGCAUAAGAAGGCUUGGUGCACUCGGAGCUCGAAGGACCUCUUUCUCUAGCUUUUAUCCACCACAUUCGCGUCUAGAUACUUCCCUAGCCUCGAGCUAGUGGUAUGUUGUCACGACGCUAGAUAAGCAACUCCGGUGAAGUUUACGACGCAGGAACGCAAAGUUGUGAGUUCAUGCUCCCCCUUUUCUUUAACUGUUUUUGGUUUUAUAACUCUCGGGGGUGAAAUACAUGUUACAAAUAUUAUAAUUUUUUUACAAGUAGUAAAAAUACAAGAAGCACUCUUGGUGAGAACGAGUACCGAGUGCAAUACGAAUCGAGAAUACAAAAAUACGAGAAGCACACUUGGUGAGAACGAGAACCAAGUAUGAUGUGCUUUAAGAAAUGCCUAGAAAUUACUAGAUCAUGUGAGCAUAGACUUAAUACUAAAAAUGCCAUAAAGUCUUGGUGAAAACUAGUACCAAGCCAUUAAAAACAUUCAGUAAUUAGGGACGAGGGUUAGAUCUAACGGGUACGGCCGAGCCCCACUCAUGGUCCUUAUGUGACCUCUUGAGUGCUUCGGUGUCCCAGUCGAGGUAAAUCGACACAGUCGAGGUAAAUCGAC